AGAGCACAGCCGGGCUCUCGGCAGCCGGCAGGCAUGAGCCCUCCCGACAGAAACCGAGCCCAAACCUGCUGAUGCGCGGUGCUGUCGCUCCUGGGUUUAGUAACAGGCUCACAUCUGGAGUGGUAGGAAAGGUCUGUCAUGUCUGGAUGAGAAGCUAAAAUCUCAGCACCUCUUCCUUUCUCAGACACCAGAAACAACAAAACCUCCAGUUUUCUCCUUGGUCAACAGAGAAACAGAGAACAGAGAAAGCAACAACCCCUGAACUGGUUGAAACUGCUGCCUGUGCUCUCGUUGAAGGUUUUAAACUUUUUCACUUUAAAGGCGACAGCAGUUUGAAAUCUGCUCGUGUUUCACGUGUUCCACUGGUAUAAAGCUUCUGGAGAAAUGCAUCAGGAACAUUUGAAUGCAAGUGAAGGUGUUUCAUGUUCAAACAGAAACAAAUCACUGAGGUGCCUUAACACAAGACAUCACCAAGGCUUUGCACAUGUCACUCACUCACAGAGAAGCUCAUCUAAGCAUGGGAAUGACCAAAGCCAAAACAAAAGUAAGUUGCUGAAUUAUUCUGUGAAUUUUCUUUUUGUAGCUGCACUGCAACUGUUUGAACUCUUUUCAGAUGUUUUUUCUUAAACUUUUAAUGCUUUUUA
Vidua macroura (Pin-tailed whydah) is the source of this 644-nucleotide long non-coding RNA. RefSeq lists it as uncharacterized. The record is from RefSeq and is a predicted model, not a curated record. The transcript is spliced from 3 exons. Lineage: Eukaryota; Metazoa; Chordata; Aves; Passeriformes; Viduidae.